UUCCAGGGUCAUGAGGUUCAAUUCAGGAGGCCAUGUUGCACAUGAUGUUCUGAUUUAUGUCGCUGAUGUGUCGACAGGGCAUUGUGGGAGAUCCUGGAGAGGGAGGCUCUCCUGGACAGAAGGGGCAGCCCGGUGUCCCGGGCCUCAUGGGAAAACUCGGCACCAUCGGACCAAAGGGUAUAAUUGGAGAUCCAGGCCCAUUUGGGAGGGACGGGGACCCUGGAAUAGAGGUAAAAUACUCUCAUGGUGAGCUCCAGCAUCAGUGUUCUUGUAUUCCCCUGUUAUUUCUCUUCCUCUCAGGCUUAUCAAGGACCUCAAGGCCUCAGGGGCAAGGUCGGCCGAAGUGGAAUCAAGGGGGAGAAAGGGCUCCUCGGGCCCCGAGGAGAAAUGGGUCUCCCAGGACAGACUGGCCCGAGAGGUUACAAAGGUUCUGCAGGAAAGCCAGGAAGACCUGGAUUUAUUGGCCCACCAGGACCUGCUGGGCAUGUGGGUGA
Molecule: long non-coding RNA, 494 nt
Filed under: Takifugu rubripes (torafugu)
Lineage: Eukaryota; Metazoa; Chordata; Actinopteri; Tetraodontiformes; Tetraodontidae
Description: lncRNA (ENSTRUG00000026809.1)
Source: RNAcentral